RNAcentral lists this ribosomal RNA (741 nucleotides) under Enterococcus faecium. Its description in RNAcentral is "partial 23S ribosomal RNA". It matches the Rfam family "Bacterial large subunit ribosomal RNA", at positions 145 to 889 of the family's 2925-position model. Lineage: Bacteria; Bacillati; Bacillota; Bacilli; Lactobacillales; Enterococcaceae. The record is from RNAcentral.
AUGUUACGAUUGUGUGAAUACAUAGCACAUUCGAGGUAGACGCAGAGAACUGAAACAUCUAAGUACCUGCAGGAAGAGAAAGAAAAUUCGAUUCCCUGAGUAGCGGCGAGCGAAACGGGAAAAGCCCAAACCAGCAAGCUUGCUUGUUGGGGUUGUAGGACUCCAAUAUGGUAGUUCUUUCAGAUAGUCGAAUGACUUGGAAAAGUCAGUCAAAGAGGGUAAAAACCCCGUAGACGAAAUGUGGAAGACACCUAGGAGGAUCCUGAGUACGGCGGAACACGAGAAAUUCCGUCGGAAUCCGGGAGGACCAUCUCCCAAGGCUAAAUACUCCCUAGUGACCGAUAGUGAACCAGUACCGUGAGGGAAAGGUGAAAAGCACCCCGGAAGGGGAGUGAAAUAGAACCUGAAACCGUGUGCCUACAACAAGUCAAAGCCCGUUAAUGGGUGAUGGCGUGCCUUUUGUAGAAUGAACCGGCGAGUUACGAUUGCAUGCGAGGUUAAGUUGAAGAGACGGAGCCGCAGCGAAAGCGAGUCUGAAUAGGGCGUUUGAGUAUGUAGUCGUAGACCCGAAACCAUGUGAUCUACCCAUGUCCAGGUUGAAGGUGCGGUAAAACGCACUGGAGGACCGAACCCACGUACGUUGAAAAGUGCGGGGAUGAGGUGUGGGUAGCGGAGAAAUUCCAAACGAACUUGGAGAUAGCUGGUUCUCUCCGAAAUAGCUUUAGGGCUAGCCUCGGAAUU